Molecule: transfer RNA, 87 nt
Filed under: bacterium
Lineage: Bacteria
Also listed under: 1 other name
Description: tRNA-Ser
Rfam family: tRNA
About the family: Transfer RNA (tRNA) molecules are approximately 80 nucleotides in length.
Source: RNAcentral
GGUGAAGUGGGUGAGUGGCUUAAACCACCAGUUUGCUAAACUGGCGUGCUGGAAACGGUACCGGGGGUUCGAAUCCCUCCUUCACCG